Molecule: RNA transcript, 6464 nt
Organism: Eutrema salsugineum
Lineage: Eukaryota; Viridiplantae; Streptophyta; Magnoliopsida; Brassicales; Brassicaceae
Gene name: lysine-specific histone demethylase 1 homolog 3
Exons: 13
Source: RefSeq, a predicted model, not a curated record
AAUUUAGCUUUCACCAUGUUCGUUUGGGUUUUGAAACAUUGAAGCGUAGCUUCUGGGAUCUAGACGAAGGUUUCGAGCUCACUCUGCUAGAAAACCCUAAACUUUGAUGUUGUAACUUCCCGUGGAAAAUUUGAAACGGCGAUAUCUCAGAACCUCUCCAUCAAGGACACAUCUUGAUUAGAGAAGACUUGAUUUUUACCAAAAGGAUUAUUUUCUUGCUCGUCACUGUCUUCUUACGGUGAGAAGUUUAGGCGAAAGUUUUGUUAGUUCGGCGAUUGGAUUUUGAGAGUCUUUUUAGUUAGUAUUAAAUUGGAGUUGAGAUUGAGUCUAAGGAAUAAGAAGAUUACAAUGGAUGGAAAGGGGACGAAAUGUGGUUCCAAGAGAGGAUCUAAGAUUGUUCAGUUUGACGAUGAUGCUGAUGAUGACGAACCUAUCAAUUCCUUCUUAAAGGUUAUGAAGCAUAAAAGUGCCAAGAAGAAUAAAGCUGAUACUGAAAGUAUUGGUAAACAGAGGCAGAACCAGGAUUCUGAAGAUAUGGGUGAUACCUUAGCCAGUUUUAGGAAGAGAUUGAAGAGGCACAAGAAAAGUGUUGGAUCAGGAAUCCCAAGGAUUAGGAACCACAAGGAUGUUCUUCCUAUUGAUACUGUAACAAAUUCUAAUUUGAACUUAAGCGAGGAAGGGCAUGAUAUGGUUGACGAUGCAUCUGAGCUUGGCAUGGAUGGUCCUGUAAACGAAAAGUGCUUGGAAGACAUCUAUAAAACGAAGGUUAAAUCAAAAACAAAAUCAACGAUAAAUGCUGCCGAGGUUGGGACUGAAUCGUUUUGCUCAAAGACAUUGGCUGUCAAGAAGAUGGUUGACUCAACAUUAGACUGUUUUACCCACACGGCGCUCUUAAAUUGCAGGACGAAGAAUAAAAGAAUGGAUUGCAUCUCUGAAAACGGUGCUUCCAAUUCUAUUGAAAAGUGUGCUUCAGAAACUGGAACUCCCCUGCAUAAGUUUUAUGGUAAGGAUGAGGCAGCUUCUCCCGGUCAUGAAAAAGUAGACUUACCCUUGACACUAUCCAGCGAGAAGGAAGCAGAUGUUUUUCGUCAAUGUCCAGAUGAUGAAUCCAAGAGACCACUGCCAAAUGUCCAUGGCAAAGUUUAUCCUACUAAUGCUAGAAAAGACAUUGCAGAUAUUUCCCCUGAGCGGCACUUACACCAAGGAGAGCCAGAAUCUCGCAAGGAUGGAACUGCUGUAGCUUCCCCAGUUUCAGUAACUCCCUGCGAAGACGAAAUUUUCCGGGGUGAUGCAAUUUCAUUACCUAAUUCCGGGAAGCCAUCCACCUUGCAACGUCCAGAGCGCAUUGCUAGAAAGCGUAAGCUUGGAAACAUGGUGUAUGAAGGAGAUACGAAUUGGGAGAAUGAGCAAGGCUUUCUGGAUUGUCAAAGCGACAAGUCCUUUAGAGGAAGCGACAAGUCCUUUAAAGGAAGCGGCAAGUGUGAUUUCGUCCCAUUUAUUUCCAAGGAAACUGAACUUGGUAGAGCAGCUGCGGUGGCAGUUGGUCUAAAAGCCCAGUCGAUAAGUCCAAUUGAGAAGAUUAUACUUAAAGAGGUGUUGAAGCGCAAAGGUAGCCAUCAGGAGUACUUAGUCUGCAGGAAUUCUAUCUUAGGUCUGUGGAGUAAAGAUGUAAGCCGAAUCUUACCUGUCACUGAGUGUGUGGCUGCCAGUGGCCUUUCUGAGAAUGAAUUGCCUUCAGCUUCUCUUAUGAGAGAGGUGUAUAAAUUUCUUGAUGAGAGAGGUUAUAUAAAUGCUGGGAUAUCAUCUGUGAGGGGAAAGGGGGAAGCUUCGACUAAUAAAGAUGAGGAUCUCGUUCUGGGGAAAAAGCUUGAAGAAAGUUCUAUGGCUUCUGUUGCAGAUUCUGAAGACGGAGUUGCUUUUAUCCUUGGUCAGGUCAAAGCCGUUGAAUCGACUAGUGAGGCUAAGAAAUGUGCUCUCCAAAUUGAUGAAACGGAAUUGGUAGGAUGUGCGACCUCAGCAAUGUUGGAGUCUACCAGCAAAACAUGCGAAGCAAGCAUUAUUGACGAUUGCAAACAUUCUGUCAGCAUUAAUGCGUUACCAGCGGAUGCUCCUGCAUCUAAGGUCGAAAAUCACACUGAAACAAUUUCAGUAUCGAAGCCUGCUUUGUCUAGCUCACUGUCCUCUGCAAAUAGUAAUCAUACGAGAGGAAGGGACUGUGUUCAAUGUGAGGUUGAAGAUGAGAAAAAAGUAAUAGUUAUAGGAGCCGGUCCUGCUGGGUUAACAGCAGCACGUCAUUUACAGCGACAAGGUUUUUCUGUCACCGUCCUUGAGGCAAGGAGUAGAGUAGGUGGUCGUGUUUUUACAGACCGGUCAUCACUUUCAGUUCCUGUGGAUCUGGGGGCUAGCAUAAUUACAGGCAUUGAGGCUGAUGUGCCAUCUGAAAGAAUGCCUGAUCCUUCGGUAUUGGUCUGCAACCAAUUAGGUCUGGAUUUGAGUGUGUUGCAUGGAUUCUGUCCUCUUUAUGAUACUGUCACAGGAAAAAAGGUUCCUCCAGAAUUAGAUGAUGCUCUACAAGCAGAGUUCAACAGUCUGAUCGAUGAUGUAGAUUUGCUUGUUGAGGAAAUAGGCAAGGAAAAAGCAAAUAAAAUGUCGCUUGAGGAUGGUCUAGAAUAUGGCCUUCAGCGGCUGAGGAUGCCACAUGACAAAGUGAACAUUGAAAGAAUUGGGCUUGGCAACUCAACUGAUGCUUCCUUCUCAAAAACAGGCAUUAGUGGUACCUCUACGUAUGACGGAAGCGGGAAAAAUGAUUUUUUGAAUCCUUUAGAGCGAAGAGUUAUGAAUUGGCAUUUUGCUCAUACAGAAUAUGGUUGCGCUGCUGUCCUCAAGGAAGUGUCGCUUCCUAACUGGAAUCAAGAUGAGUUUUAUGGCGGGUUUGGAGGGCCACAUGCUAUGAUAAAGGGUGGUUAUAGCAGAGUUGUUGAGUCGCUUGCAGAAGGACUUGACAUUCACUUGAACAAAGUAGUUUCUGAGGUAUCUUAUGCCUCUGAAGUAUCUGCCAUGAAUAACAGCAAGCAUAAAGUCAGAGUUAGUACAUCAAAUGGCUGUGAGUAUCUUGGAGAUGCUGUUCUGGUAACUGUUCCUCUUGGGUGCUUGAAAGCAGAAACCAUUAAGUUUUCACCACCCUUGCCCGAUUGGAAAUAUUCGUCAAUCAAACAACUUGGUUUCGGAGUUCUAAAUAAAGUUGUGUUAGAGUUCUCAAAGGUAUUUUGGGAUGAUAGCUUGGAUUAUUUUGGGGCAACUGCUGAGGAAACAGAUCAAAGAGGUGAGUGCUUUAUGUUUUGGAAUGUCAAAAAAACUGUUGGUGCUCCUGUUCUGAUAGCUUUGGUGGUUGGGAAGGCUGCUGUUGACUAUAAAGACAAAAGUAAGUCUGAGCAUGUGAACCAUGCAAUGAUGGUUCUACGUAAGCUUUUUGGUGGGGAUCUGGUGCCUGAUCCUGUUGCUUCGGUAGUUACUGACUGGGGCACUGAUCCUUACAGUUAUGGUGCCUACUCAUAUGUUGCUAUUGGUGCUUCUGGUGAAGAUUAUGAUGUACUGGGAAGGCCUGUUCAGAAUUGUUUGUUUUUUGCUGGUGAGGCAACAUGCAAAGAGCAUCCUGACACUGUUGGUGGUGCAAUGAUGACUGGAGUCCGGGAAGCUGUGCGUAUAAUUGAUAUAUUUAGAAGUGGAAAUGAUUACACAGCCGAAAUAGAAACACUAGAAAAGGCGCAGAGGAAAUCUCUAUCUGUGAGGGAUGAAGUCAGUGACCUAAUAAAGAGGCUUGAAGUUGUUGAGCUGUCUAAUGUGUUGGCCAGGCAAUCAUUGCUUCGGAACAUGUUCUUCUCUGCUAAAACAACUGUUGGGCGUUUGCAUUUAGCCAAGGAAUUGCUUAACCUACCUGGUGAAACCUUGAAAUCCUUUGCAGGCACAAAAGAAGGGCUUGCAGUGCUGAACUCUUGGAUCCUGGAUUCGAUGGGAAAGAAUGGAACCCAGCUUUUACGUCACUGUGUACAUAUUCUUGUUCAAGUUACGAGUGAUCUCUUUGCCGUGAGGCUCUCAGGCAUUGGGAAGACUGUGAAAGAAAAGGUUUGUGCACACACGAGCCGUGAUAUCCGUGCCAUUGCAAGUCAGCUUGUUAAUGUGUGGCUGGAACUAUACCGGAAAGAAAAAGCUAAUAGUGAAAUGAAAUCAUUGAGACAAACAAAUACGACAAAUAUUUCUAGAAUAAGAAGAAAACUGAAUAGUGAGGAUACAGACAGUAAGGGAAAGCUGUGUAAUGGCAACGAUAUGAAAACAGAUGGAGAACUUGAGGACAACCAGCUACCUAUGUCAGAGGAAGAAAAGGCUGUGUUUGCUGCAGCUGAGGCUGCUCGUGCAGCUGCUGAAGCAGCUGCAAAGGCAUUUUCUGAGGCCUAUCAUAGUACUGCAUUGCAGCUUCCUAAGAUUCCCUCGUUUCAUAAAUUUGCCAGGCGAGAACAGUAUGCAAAGAUGGACGAAUCUGAUUUCAGGAAAAAGUUUCCCGGCAAUGUCUUAGGAAGACAAGAUUGUAUGUCAGAGAUAGACUCUAGGAACUGCAAAGUUCGGGACUGGUAUGAUUUUCCUGCCUCCUGUCUUGACCUUGACAGUUCAAAGAUUCCAGUUGAUAACUGCUCACAGCGUAGUCAUUCGAACGAGCUUGUAUCUCAUUCAAAGUUUAGAGAAUGUUCUGGAGAAAGUGGGGCUGCGGAUAACAGUAUUUUUACCGGGGCAUGGGUUGAUACUGGUGGUAGUAGCGAUGGUGUCAAGGAUUAUAAUGCUAUAGAUAGAUGGCAAUCUCAAGCUGCGGCUGCUGAUCCUGAAUUUUUCAAUCGUGCCUUGCAUAUUAAGGAUGAAGAUUCGAUUGCAUGUUCGCCAGGCCUACCUAGUUGGAAGCAUGACCAACGAGCGAAUGAAUGUUCAAUGUCACAGGUUACAGUGAAUAAAGAGCCACAUAAAAAUCAUAAGAGUCAUAUCCGGGGUGCAGAUCGUUUAAAACAGGGGAUUGUAGAUUUUGUUGCAUCGUUGCUUAUGGCCCCGUAUAGAGCAAAGAAAAUUGAUAGAGAUGUAUACAAGUCAAUAAUGAAGAAGACAGCAACAAAGGUAAUGCAACAGACAACAGACGUGGAGAAAGCCAUGGCUGUUCCACAAUUCCUCGACUCAAAGCGGAAAAACAAGAUUCGUGACUUUGUGGACAAACAAGUUGACAAGUACAUAGCGAUAGCUCAAGUUCCAAAACCUUGAUGGCCACUGGGAUCUAUUGGAAUGGCCAUUACUUGAGUUGGUAUCUGCUGGGAUGGCAAAGCCCCUUCGCAUACACCACACUGCUCAUUUAAUGGAAGCUUAUCUCAAAGAAGCAGAUGGUAGAAGAGAGUUUUUCCAUGAUAUUUUCUCAUACCAGAAGAUUAGGCCGGGACAAGUUUUUGGCAUUAACCUGAUAUGAUGAAGAAUUUGGUCUUGCUAUGUAUGAGUGAAGCAUCUUCUCUCCUCUACCUGGGGGAAAUGUUCUGAGGACUUUCUGAUCAAGUUGCAGGUGUAUGACUCUCACCCUGGCACGAUCGUCAAGAAGUUGGAUUGGUUCAGCUCCCAAGCAUUUCAAUAUUGUGAUGUCCUUCUGUUGUCUUAGACUUGGAAGCAGCUUGUGGUAGAGGCACUGCAACGAGGCAGGUUAAGGAAACGUAGACUUGGCUUGUUUCAAUUUGACCAAUGUUGUUAUCUUUGAUUGAAGCUGUUUUUUAUGGAUGCCGUGGUUCAAGAAUCACUCUGCUUUUUGGGGGAAGAAAUGCAGAGUUGGUUGAGUUGGCAGAGAUAGAGGCUAGAGCACAGCGAUUGCGAUCACACAUCUCUCUGAGUCAAAUUCGUUGUUACAAAAAAUGUUAAGGUCAAUUCACCAAUAUGAAGCACGGUAUUAGAUUUUGUUACUAAAACAUGAAAGCCAAGAUCGAGAGCACUCUCUCUGAGUCAAAAUCGUUGUUACAGAGUAUCCAAUCAUGGAAGCUCUAGAAGGUAAGAAGAAGAUUCUUAAAACGCUCAGAAGUGUGAUUCGAUCAACAACAAAAAAAAAUACAAAUUCCUAGACGUUGCAUUGACGCGCAAGAUUGUUUGCCAAAGCAGUGUCCAAUCUCUGCCUCUCCCUUGCCUGCCUUUGCUCCUUCAUGAGUGAAAUCAUCUCCUCAUAGCUCCCGCCAGUGCUUAUCAUUCUAUCAAACCUCGGCUUCAAAUGCAAAUCAGAAAAUGCUUUCCGCCUCUCCCUGCACUGGUCGCUAAUGUUCUUCACGAGCUCAGGUUGGCCUCUCACAAAAUCUUGGGAAUUCCCAUUCUUGGUUUGGGAAUUCCCAUUCUUCACGAGGAAGUGUUACCGAAAGUAUGAUUAUCAUUUUAUCAAUUUUUCAAUUCAUUAGCAUAUAAACUCU